CGAUCUGCUGCGGGGCGAUGAAGUGGAUAUGGCUGUCCAUGCCGCCCGCGGUCAGGAUGCGCCCCUCGCCCGCGAUGAUCUCGGUCCCCGGCCCGAUGAUGAUGUCGACGCCGGGCUGGGUGUCGGGGUUACCUGCCUUGCCGAUCUUCAGGAUGCGCCCGUCGCGCAGGCCCACAUCAGCCUUGUAGAUGCCGGAAUGGUCAAGGAUCAGCGCAUUGGUGAUGACCGUAUCCGCCGCCCCGCCCGCGCGCGAAACCUGGCUUUGCCCCAUCCCGUCCCG
RNAcentral lists this small RNA (280 nucleotides) under uncultured Rhodobacter sp. RNAcentral describes it as "5' ureB small RNA". It matches the Rfam family "5' ureB small RNA". The record is from RNAcentral. Lineage: Bacteria; Pseudomonadati; Pseudomonadota; Alphaproteobacteria; Rhodobacterales.